AACGUUCAUCCUUUCCUAGCGCUAAUCGCUAGUUAUACAAGGACGGAAGUAGGGUUAAAGUCCCGAAGGAACGCGCC
Molecule: non-coding RNA, 77 nt
Filed under: Lyngbya confervoides
Lineage: Bacteria; Bacillati; Cyanobacteriota; Cyanophyceae; Oscillatoriales; Microcoleaceae
Also listed under: 1 other name
Description: Glutamine-I sequence
Rfam family: Glutamine riboswitch aptamer (glnA leader)
Source: RNAcentral